Long non-coding RNA from Phyllostomus discolor (pale spear-nosed bat), 765 nucleotides. RefSeq lists it as uncharacterized. Lineage: Eukaryota; Metazoa; Chordata; Mammalia; Chiroptera; Phyllostomidae. The transcript is spliced from 2 exons. The record is from RefSeq and is a predicted model, not a curated record.
CCCUCCUCCUCCCCCCGGUGCCCGGGGACACGCGGGCCCGGCUCCAGCCCGCAGCCCAGACCCCACGCGCUCCCGGCUCCCGCCCUAGCCCCGGGGGCUCGGCUCCAGCCGAAUAAUGUAUUCACUCGGCAACCUUCUGAGAUGUCUUCUCUCUUUUUAAAUUUGGUUUAGUUUUGUUGUUGUUGUGUGUGCGUGUGACUAAAAAAAAAAAAAAAAUCUGUGCGUUCCCACCCUCUGCAAAAGACUUUCUUCUCCUUUGCCACAGCAAACGGAGAUGAGAAACAGAUGUCUUUGCAGGACCGAGCAGUUACUCCCCCCUCGCCGCCCGCCCCCGCCCGGUCCCCUCCGGAGCUGCAGGAGUAUAAAAAAGCAACCUUGGUCUUGCUGCAACUUCAAUUGGCAACACUUUCUGGCUGGGGAGCCUCCAGGGAAAACCUCCAGGAAAUAAAAAAUGAUCCUCCGACUGUGAAAAACCAAACCCCUGGCUGCCAGGCUCCCCGGGAGUUCAGGAGAGGCACAGACUGAAAACCGGAGAGGAGAGGAGCAAGAGCAAGGAUGAGGAUUAGCAUCUGCAAAUUGAACUCUAUCUGAUUUGCAUGUUUAUUUCUUAGAAUUGUAAUUAAAUUUGUGUAAUAAAUGUUUUCCAUUUCAUUUGUACACUUAAAAUUUGGGCAACUGACAUGCAGUUAAGUGAAUUUCUUUUUUCUAAAAAAGAAAAGCAAAUGCAGUUUAUUCAAUAAAGCAGCAAACAAAUAUUAACUAUAA